AACGAACGCUGGCGGCAUGCCUAACACAUGCAAGUCGAACGAGACCUUCGGGUCUAGUGGCGCACGGGUGCGUAACGCGUGGGAACCUGCCCUUAGGUUCGGAAUAACUCCCCGAAAGGGGUGCUAAUACCGGAUAAUGUCUUCGGACCAAAGAUUUAUCGCCUUUGGAUGGGCCCGCGUUGGAUUAGCUAGUUGGUAGGGUAAAAGCCUACCAAGGCGACGAUCCAUAGCUGGUCUGAGAGGAUGAUCAGCCACACUGGGACUGGGACACGGCCCAGACUCCUACGGGAGGCAGCAGUGGGGAAUAUUGGACAAUGGGCGAAAGCCUGAUCCAGCAAUGCCGCGUGAGUGAUGAAGGCCUUAGGGUUGUAAAGCUCUUUUACCCGGGAUGAUAAUGACAGUACCGGGAGAAUAAGCUCCGGCUAACUCCG
Molecule: ribosomal RNA, 431 nt
Filed under: uncultured bacterium
Lineage: Bacteria
Description: partial 16S ribosomal RNA
Rfam family: Bacterial small subunit ribosomal RNA
Source: RNAcentral